AUUGAACGCUGGCGGCAUGCCUUACACAUGCAAGUCGAACGGCAGCGGACCUUCGGGUGCCGGCGAGUGGCGAACGGGUGAGUAAUAUAUCGGAACGUACCUUUCAGUGGGGGAUAACGUAGCGAAAGUUACGCUAAUACCGCAUAUUCUGUGAGCAGGAAAGCAGGGGAUCGCAAGACCUUGCGCUGAUUGAGCGGCCGAUAUCAGAUUAGCUAGUUGGUGAGGUAAAGGCUCACCAAGGCGACGAUCCUUAGCUGGUCUGAGAGGAUGAUCAGCCACACUGGAACUGAGACACGGUCCAGACUCCUACGGGAGGCAGCAGUGGGGAAUAUUGCGCAAUGGGCGCAAGCCUGAUCCAGCCAUGCCGCGUGAGUGAAGAAGGCCUCGGUUGUAAG
This 395-nucleotide ribosomal RNA is filed under the name uncultured bacterium. RNAcentral's name for it is "bacterial SSU rRNA". It matches the Rfam family "Bacterial small subunit ribosomal RNA", at positions 30 to 429 of the family's 1533-position model. The record is from RNAcentral.